RNAcentral lists this ribosomal RNA (253 nucleotides) under uncultured bacterium. RNAcentral's name for it is "partial 16S ribosomal RNA". It matches the Rfam family "Bacterial small subunit ribosomal RNA", at positions 524 to 776 of the family's 1533-position model. The record is from RNAcentral.
UACGAAGGGGACUAGCGUUGUUCGGAAUCACUGGGCGUAAAGCGCACGUAGGCGGAUUUAUAAGUCAGGGGUGAAAUCCCGGGGCUCAACCUCGGAACUGCCUUUGAUACUGUGAAUCUUGAGUCCGAUAGAGGUGGGUGGAAUUCCUAGUGUAGAGGUGAAAUUCGUAGAUAUUAGGAAGAACACCGGUGGCGAAGGCGGCCCACUGGGCCAUUACUGACACUGAGGUGCGAAAGCGUGGGUAGCAAACAGG